This is a long non-coding RNA of Rhipicephalus microplus (southern cattle tick), 422 nucleotides long. Lineage: Eukaryota; Metazoa; Arthropoda; Arachnida; Ixodida; Ixodidae. The record is from RefSeq and is a predicted model, not a curated record.
UGACAACGGCGUCAGCAACUCAGUCCUUUGCGAAGCGAGAAUCACCAAGAUCGGCAAUUUCAUUCGAGUCCAAGUCAUGAGUAAGUUGAGGGACAGCUUCCGGAACCAAGUUUUUGAAGACGUCGAUGAAUGUUUCAACGCCGUUGCCCCAUAAGGCCACAGCACCGCCCGGCUGUCUGCUUUUGGUUGCGGCACUUACCUUGUUUAUCGGAACGUGACAUGUCCCUUCAAGCACUCAACUUUCGUUUACGAAGUUUCGUGUUUAUUUACUUUAUAUUUAUUUAUUCGCACAUACUGCAGCGCUCAUGGCGCUUUGGCAGAAGUGUGAUGAAGAAUAUAUUUGAAUAUGUCUUGCUUCAAAAACUUCGCAUGAGGUGUGUCAAAAAGGCGUGAUUUUUUGUUGUGCGCUUUCAUUUCUUCUG